Molecule: ribosomal RNA, 514 nt
Filed under: uncultured bacterium
Lineage: Bacteria
Description: partial 16S ribosomal RNA
Rfam family: Bacterial small subunit ribosomal RNA
Source: RNAcentral
GAUGAACGCUGGCGGCAUGCCUAAUACAUGCAAGUCGAACGGACCGAAGGGAAAGCUUGCUUUCCUGGAAGUCAGUGGCGAACGGGUGAGUAACACGUAGGUAACCUGCCCAUGUGCCCGGGACAACGCCUGGAAACGGGUGCUAAACCCGGAUAGGUAGAGAGAUCGCGUGAACUUUCUAUGAAAGGGGCUACGGCCCUGAACAUGGAUGGACCUGCUGUGCAUUAGCUAGUGGGUGAGGUAACGGCCCACCAAGGCGACGAUGCAUAGCCGACCGGAGAGGGCGAACGGCCACAUUGGGACUGAGACACGGCCCAAACUCCUACGGGAGGCAGCAGUAGGGAAUUUUCGUCAAUGGGGGGAACCCUGAACGAGCAAUGCCGCGUGAGUGAAGACGGUCUUCGGAUUGUAAAGCUCUGUUGCGAGAGAAAAACGACACGGAUAGGGAAUGAUCCGUGGGUGAUGGUAUCUCGCCAGAAAGUCACGGCUAACUACGUGCCAGCCGCCGCAGUAA